GACGAACGCUGGCGGCGUGCCUAACACAUGCAAGUCGAACGAGGAACAAGCUUGAAGCUUGCUUUUGGAUUGUUUUUAGUGGCGGACGGGUGAGUAACGCGUGAGUAACCUGCCUUUCAGAGGGGGAUAACGUUCUGGAAAGAACGCUAAUACCGCAUGAUAUUUCGAAGCCGCAUGGUUUUGAAAUCAAAGGAGCAAUCCGCUGAAAGAUGGACUCGCGUCCGAUUAGCUAGUUGGUGAGGUAAUGGCUCACAAAGGCGACGAUCGGUAGCCGGAUUGAGAGGUUGAUCGGCCACAUUGGGACUGAGACACGGCCCAGACUCCUACGGGAGGCAGCAGUGGGGGAUAUUGCACAAUGGAGGAAACUCUGAUGCAGCAACGCCGCGUGAGGGAAGAAGGUUUUCGGAUUGUAAACCUCUGUCCUUGGUGACGAUAAUGACGGUA
This 444-nucleotide ribosomal RNA is filed under the name uncultured bacterium. RNAcentral's name for it is "SSU rRNA". It matches the Rfam family "Bacterial small subunit ribosomal RNA", at positions 28 to 477 of the family's 1533-position model. The record is from RNAcentral.